AUGCAUUUCGGUGUAUAGUGUUAUAGCCAGUAAUGACUACCAUUGGAUAGACUGAGGAAGAAUAUAACCCUGGCUUCGGCUCUGUUAUAUCGGGAUAUUGACGAAAUUGUACUACCUCGCCCGUCUUGAAACACGGACCAAGGAGUCUAACAUGUAUGCGAGUAGGCGGGUUAAAACCUCGCUGCGCAAUGAAAGUAAUUUCUUUACGGAUGCACCAUCGACCGAUCAUGAUUCUCUGAAGAAAGAUUUGAGUUAGAGCAUAAAUGUUAGGACCCGAAAGAUGGUGAACUAUGCCUGAGUAGGGCGAAGCCAGGGGAAACUCUGGUGGAGGCUCGAAGCGAUUCUGACGUGCAAAUCGAUCGUCAAAUUUGGGUAUAGGGGCGAAAGACUAAUCGAACCAUCUAGUAGCUGGUUCCCUCCGAAAUUUCCCUCAGGAUAGCUGCAACUUGUACAGUUUUAUCAGGUAAAGCGAAUGAUUAGAGGACUUGGGGAUGAAACAUCCUCGACCUAUUCUCAAACUUUAAAUGGGUAAGAAGCCGGUGUUGCUUAAUUGAACACUGCGCUCGAAUGGAAGUUGCUAGUGGGCCAUGCGGGGUAAGCUCGCCUGGCAAUGCGGGAUCAACCGAACGUUAUGUUAAGGUGCCUUACUACUCGCUCAUGUAGAGUUAAAAGGUGUUAGUUCAUCUAG
Molecule: ribosomal RNA, 688 nt
Filed under: uncultured stramenopile
Lineage: Eukaryota
Description: LSU rRNA
Rfam family: Eukaryotic large subunit ribosomal RNA
Source: RNAcentral